AAUCCCUUUCCUCUCAUGAGGAAAGGCUGAAAGAUGGUUUACGCUAUCACUUAUAGAUGGGCCCGCGGCGCAUUAGCUAGUUGGUGAGGUAACGGCUCACCAAGGCAACGAUGCGUAGCCGACCUGAGAGGGUGAUCGGCCACACUGGGACUGAGACACGGCCCAGACUCCUACGGGAGGCAGCAGUAGGGAAUCUUCCGCAAUGGACGAAAGUCUGACGGAGCAACGCCGCGUGAGUGAUGAAGGUUUUCGGAUCGUAAAACUCUGUUGUCAGGGAAGAACAAGUAUGGGAGUAACUGCCCGUACCUUGACGGUACCUGGCCAGAAAGCCACGGCUAACUACGUGCCAGCAGCCGCGGUAAUACGUAGGUGGCAAGCGUUGUCCGGAAUUAUUGGGCGUAAAGCGCGCGCAGGCGGCCUUUUAAGUCUGAUGUGAAAGCCCCCGGCUCAAUCGGGGAGGGUCAUUGGAAACUGGAAGGCUUGAGUGCAGAAGAGAAGAGCGGAAUUCCACGUGUAGCGGUGAAAUGCGUAGAGAUGUGGAGGAACACCAGUGGCGAAGGCGGCUCUUUGGUCUGUAACUGACGCUGAGGCGCGAAAGCGUGGGGAGCGAACAGGAUUAGAUACCCUGGUAGUCCACGCCGUAAACGAUGAGUGCUAAGUGUUGGGGGGUUUCCGCCCCUCA
RNAcentral lists this ribosomal RNA (682 nucleotides) under uncultured Bacillus sp. RNAcentral's name for it is "bacterial SSU rRNA". It matches the Rfam family "Bacterial small subunit ribosomal RNA", at positions 173 to 842 of the family's 1533-position model. The record is from RNAcentral. Lineage: Bacteria; Bacillati; Bacillota; Bacilli; Caryophanales; Bacillaceae.